Molecule: ribosomal RNA, 693 nt
Filed under: Achromobacter sp. MJAU D0075
Lineage: Bacteria; Pseudomonadati; Pseudomonadota; Betaproteobacteria; Burkholderiales; Alcaligenaceae
Also listed under: 1 other name
Description: bacterial SSU rRNA
Rfam family: Bacterial small subunit ribosomal RNA
Source: RNAcentral
UGCAGUCGAACGGCACACGGACUUCGGUCUGGUGGCGAGUGGCGAACGGGUGAGUAAUGUAUCGGAACGUGCCCAGUAGCGGGGGAUAACUACGCGAAAGCGUAGCUAAUACCGCAUACGCCCUAGGGGGGAAAGCAGGGGAUCGCAAGACCUUGCACUAUUGGAGCGGCCGAUAUCGGAUUAGCUAGUUGGUGGGGUAACGGCUCACCAAGGCGACGAUCCGUAUCUGGUUUGAGAGGACGACCACCCACUCUGGGACUGACACACGGCCCACACUCCUACGGGAGGCAGCAGUGGGGAAUUUUGGACAAUGGGGGAAACCCUGAUCCAGCCAUCCCGCGUGUGCGAUGAAGGCCUUCGGGUUGUAAAGCACUUUUGGCAGGAAAGAAACGUCCCGGGUUAAUACCCCGCGGAACUGACGGUACCUGCAAAAUAAGCACCGGCUAACUACGUGCCAGCAGCCGCGGUAAUACGUAGGGUGCAAGCGUUAAUCAGAAUUACUGGGCGUAAAGCGUGCGCAGGCGGUUCGGAAAGAAAGAUGUGAAAUCCCAGAGCUUAACUUUGGAACUGCAUUUUUAACUACCGGGCUAGAGUGUGUCAGAGGGAGGUGGAAUUCCGCGUGUAGCAGUGAAAUGCGUAUAUAUGCAGAAGAACACCGAUGGCGAACGCACCCUCCUGGGAUAACACUGACGC